RNAcentral lists this ribosomal RNA (231 nucleotides) under uncultured bacterium. Its description in RNAcentral is "partial 16S ribosomal RNA". It matches the Rfam family "Bacterial small subunit ribosomal RNA", at positions 333 to 556 of the family's 1533-position model. The record is from RNAcentral.
UUGGGCCUACGGGGGGCAGCAGUGGGGAAUAUUGCACAAUGGGGGAAACCCUGAUGCAGCGACGCCGCGUGAGCGAAGAAGGGUUUCGGCUCGUAAAGCUCUGUUGGUAGUGAAGAAAGAUAGAGGUAGUAACUGGCCUUUAUUUUACGGUAAUUACUUAGAAAGUCACGGCUAACUACGUGCCAGCAGCCGCGGUAAUACGUAGGUGGCAAGCGUUGUCCGGAUUUAUUG